Sapajus apella (tufted capuchin) is the source of this 477-nucleotide long non-coding RNA. RefSeq lists it as uncharacterized. The record is from RefSeq and is a predicted model, not a curated record. The transcript is spliced from 3 exons. Lineage: Eukaryota; Metazoa; Chordata; Mammalia; Primates; Cebidae.
UUUUAAAAAAUUUUUGAUAGUUUUGGGGGGAACAGGUAGCAUUUGGUUGUAUGGAAAAGUUCUUUGUGGUGAUUUCUGAGAUUUUGGUGCACCUGACAUCUGAACAGUAUAUAUAUACAAUACCUAUUGUGUAGUCUUUUAUUCCUCACCCCCUCCCAUUCUUCCUCCCAAGUCCCCAAAGUUCAUUAUACCAUUCUUAAGUCUUUGCAUCCCCAUAGCUUAGCUUCCAGUUAUGAGAACAUAUAAUGUUUGGUUUUCCAUUCCUGAGUUACUUCACUUAGAAUAAUGGUCUCCAGCUCCAUCCCGGUUGCUGCAAAUGCCAUUAUUUCAUUCCUUUUUAUGUCUGAGUAGUAUAUCCCAUGGUACAUAUAUAUACUACAUGUUCUUAAUCCACUCGUUGGUUGAUGGGCAGUUGUGAAUUGUGCUGCUGUAAACAUGCAUGUGCAAGUGUCUUUUUCAUAUAAUGACUUCUUUUCC